UCGAGUGGCGAACGGGUGAGUAACACGUGGGUGAUCUGCCCUGCACUUCGGGAUAAGCUUGGGAAACUGGGUCUAAUACCGGAUAGGACUACGCACUGCAUGGUGUGUGGUGGAAAGCUUUUGCGGUGUGGGAUGGGCCCGCGGCCUAUCAGCUUGUUGGUGGGGUGAUGGCCUACCAAGGCGACGACGGGUAGCCGGCCUGAGAGGGUGUCCGGCCACACUGGGACUGAGAUACGGCCCAG
Molecule: ribosomal RNA, 242 nt
Filed under: uncultured bacterium
Lineage: Bacteria
Description: partial 16S ribosomal RNA
Rfam family: Bacterial small subunit ribosomal RNA
Source: RNAcentral